RNAcentral lists this ribosomal RNA (274 nucleotides) under uncultured bacterium. RNAcentral describes it as "partial 16S ribosomal RNA". It matches the Rfam family "Bacterial small subunit ribosomal RNA", at positions 523 to 796 of the family's 1533-position model. The record is from RNAcentral.
AUACGGAGGGUGCGAGCGUUAAGCGGAAUUACUGGGCGUAAAGGGUGCGUAGGCGGCUUGAUAAGUCGGAUGUGAAAGCCCCGGGCUUAACCUGGGAAUUGCAUUCGAUACUGUCAGGCUAGAGUAUGUCAGAGGUUGGCGGAAUUCCUGGUGUAGGGGUGAAAUGCGUAGAUAUCAGGAGGAACACCAGUGGCGAAGGCGGCUAACUGGGACAAUACUGACGCUGAGGCACGAAAGCGUGGGGAGCAAACAGGAUUAGAUACCCGAGUAGUCC